UACGUAGGGGGCAAGCGUUGUCCGGAAUCAUUGGGCGUAAAGAGCGCGUAGGCGGCCCUGUAAGUCCGCUGUGAAAGUCAAGGGCUCAACCCUUGAAUGCCGGUGGAUACUGCAGGGCUAGAGUCCGGAAGAGGCGAGUGGAAUUCCACGUGUAGCGGUGAAAUGCGUAGAGAUGUGGAGGAACACCUGUGGCGAAGGCGCCUUGCUGGCCGAUUUCUGACGCUGAGGCGCGAAAGCGUGGGGAGCAAACAGG
RNAcentral lists this ribosomal RNA (253 nucleotides) under uncultured bacterium. RNAcentral's name for it is "partial 16S ribosomal RNA". It matches the Rfam family "Bacterial small subunit ribosomal RNA", at positions 524 to 776 of the family's 1533-position model. The record is from RNAcentral.